Molecule: ribosomal RNA, 468 nt
Filed under: uncultured bacterium
Lineage: Bacteria
Description: partial 16S ribosomal RNA
Rfam family: Bacterial small subunit ribosomal RNA
Source: RNAcentral
GACGAACGCUGGCGGCGUGCUUAACACAUGCAAGUCGAACGGAAAGGCCCUGCUUUUGUGGGGUGCUCGAGUGGCGAACGGGUGAGUAACACGUGAGUAACCUGCCCUUGACUUUGGGAUAACUUCAGGAAACUGGGGCUAAUACCGGAUAGGAGCUCCUGCUGCAUGGUGGGGGUUGGAAAGUUUCGGCGGUUGGGGAUGGACUCGCGGCUUAUCAGCUUGUUGGUGGGGUAGUGGCUUACCAAGGCUUUGACGGGUAGCCGGCCUGAGAGGGUGACCGGCCACAAUGGGACUGAGAUACGGCCCAGUCUCCUACGGGAGGCAGCAGUGGGGAAUAUUGCACAAUGGGCGGAAGCCUGAUGCAGCAACGCCGCGUGCGGGAUGACGUCCUUCGGGUUGUAAACCGCUUUCGCCUGUGACGAAGCGUGAGUGACGGUAAUGGGUAAAGAAGCACCGGCUAACUACGUG